Molecule: long non-coding RNA, 736 nt
Organism: Erinaceus europaeus (western European hedgehog)
Lineage: Eukaryota; Metazoa; Chordata; Mammalia; Eulipotyphla; Erinaceidae
Exons: 3
Source: RefSeq, a predicted model, not a curated record
ACACGUGGAAUAAAAAAUAUAAAAAUUCCUAGAAAAAUUGAAACUCUUCCGACAGAAAAGUGAACUCAUCUUCACUAAAUUUUAGUAGACAAUAAUAAAUCCCUUUCUGGAGGGUUGAAGGUGAAAAACCUCAAAAGGCCCCGCUGGGAUUCGAACCCAGGAUCUCCUGUUUACUAGACAGGCGCUUUAACCAGCUAAGCCACGGAGCCAGCACGCAAACGAGGAUUCGAAUCGACCAGGAAAAGGAAUGAUCAUUAUUUUAUAUAUAUAUAUAUUUUUUUUUCUUUUUCACUUUUUUACUAUUCAAAAACAACCCAGAUACUUCCCCAUUCCCUAAAAAAAAUAAAUAAAUAAAAAGAAGAAGAAGAAGAAGAAGAAGAAGAAGAAGAAGAAGAAGAAGAAGAAGAAGAAGAAGAAGAAGAAGAACCUUAGCCACAUCAUAUAAAGAAAUACAAAACCCAGCAUCUGCCGAGAAACCGGAGUUCCUCUUCGCCAGGAGUGAAGAAAACACAGGCAUGAGUGUGAAGCCUCCGAGCUUUUCACCUGGAAAUCAAAAAGGCCUGUCACAUGUUUCUAUUCCACACAUUGGACUUGGGAGGAGCAGACUGCUAUUUUCCUGCUGAUGAUUGUACUAAGGAAUGUGGGAGAGCUACUAAAGGCAAGACUGGAAGUUGGAAACUAAGUGACCAGAAAAGAAGACCCAGCAUAAAAUCCACAAAUAGAAAAAGGUAUCUUG